UUAUGAAUUUGUUUAUUAUGUUCAUUGAUGUUAUUUGUAGAAUGGUUAUGUUGUAUGUUGAAAAUUCAUAGAUGUUAUAUGUAGAAUGGUUAUGUUCAUUGAUUCUAUAUGUAGAAUGGUUAUGUUCAUUGAUUUUAUAUGUAGAAUGGUAUGAUUGUAAAUGGUUAUGUUGUAAAGAUACAUGUUUUCUUUGUGUUGUAUGUUUGAUGGGAGGGCAUUGCACAUGAUUCACGAGUUUUAAAAGAAGUUGCAUUCAACCCAAAUUCUGGCUUUCCUUUUCCGCCACCAGAUAAGUAUUACCUUUGUGACGCUGCAUACACCAACACUCGUGGAUUUAUGACUCCCUACCGUGGUACGAGGUAUUGGUUAGCCGAUUUUAGACGACAACGUGCGUUAACUAAGGAAGAAAGAUUCAAUCAUGCUCACGCACAACUCAGAAAUGUCAUUGAACGUGCAUACGGUGUUCUAAAGGCGAGAUUCCCAAUCCUAAAGCAAAUGGCUCCCUUUUCUUUUCCAAUACAAAGAGACAUCGUGAUUGCUUGUUUCGCCGUCCAUAAUUUUAUAAGGAAAUGCAAUAUUUAUGAUCAGUUAUUUAUGGACUAUGAUGAGAACACGAUGUUUCAUGAAAUGCAAAGUGGGGAAAAUGAUGGCCUGCUAGUUCAAGACAUAGAGUGGGGUUCACAAGGUAUUGACUACAUGACUUCUUUACGUAACCAGAUUGCUAAUCAGUUGCUUUCAAAUGAAUCAAAUUAAAAAUGUAUGUAGAGUUGUGUUAUUUGUAUUUGGAUUUCGUAUGUUGUGUUGUUUUGUAUUUGGAUUUAAAGGAUUGAUGUGUAAUUUGGAUUUUCUA
Long non-coding RNA from Helianthus annuus (common sunflower), 850 nucleotides. RefSeq lists it as uncharacterized. Lineage: Eukaryota; Viridiplantae; Streptophyta; Magnoliopsida; Asterales; Asteraceae. The record is from RefSeq and is a predicted model, not a curated record. The transcript has 2 exons.